GACGAACGCUGGCGGCGUGCCUAACACAUGCAAGUCGAACGAGAUCCAUGGGAGCUUGCUCCCGGAAGAUCUAGUGGCGAACGGGUGAGUAACACGUGAGAAACCUGCCCUGGAGUGGGGAAUAACUCGGGGAAACUCGAGCUAAUACCGCAUACCCUCGGAUGGUCGCAUGGCCGACCGAGGAAAGAUUUAUCGCUCUAGGAGGGUCUCGCGGCCUAUCAGCUAGUUGGUGGGGUAACGGCCUACCAAGGCAACGACGGGUAGCUGGUUUGAGAGAACGAUCAGCCACACUGGGACUGAGACACGGCCCAGACUCCUACGGGAGGCAGCAGUGGGGAAUCUUGCGCAAAUGGGGCGAAAGCCUGACGCAGCAACGCCGCGUGCGGGAUGACGGCCUUCGUGGUUGUAAACCGCUUUCAGCAGGGACGAAAAUAGACGGUAACCUGCAGAAGAAAGACCCCGGGCCUAACCUAACGUGCCAGCAGCCGCGG
Molecule: ribosomal RNA, 491 nt
Filed under: uncultured bacterium
Lineage: Bacteria
Description: bacterial SSU rRNA
Rfam family: Bacterial small subunit ribosomal RNA
Source: RNAcentral